GUGCCAGCAGCCGCGGUAAUACGGAGGGUGCAAGCGUUAAUCGGAAUUACUGGGCGUAAAGCGCACGCAGGCGGUUUGUUAAGUCAGAUGUGAAAUCCCCGGGCUCAACCUGGGAACUGCAUUUGAAACUGGCAAGCUAGAGUCUCGUAGAGGGGGGUAGAAUUCCAGGUGUAGCGGUGAAAUGCGUAGAGAUCUGGAGGAAUACCGGUGGCGAAGGCGGCCUCUUGCACGAAAGACUGACGCUCAGGUCAGAAAGCGUGGGGAAGCAAACAGGGAUUAGAUACCCUGGUAGUCC
Molecule: ribosomal RNA, 295 nt
Filed under: uncultured microorganism
Description: partial 16S ribosomal RNA
Rfam family: Bacterial small subunit ribosomal RNA
Source: RNAcentral